GUUUUUAAAUACCAUAUGGAGUUCAGUGUGGACUAUGGAAAAGGGGCUGAUCUGUCGAGAAGGGACAAAAAUACUGUCAAGCUGGAGUCUCCACGAGUGAAAGGAGCAGAAGACAAAGUAAAGUACAGGUAUAAAUAUGAAGAAGAUCUGCGGAAGGGACAUGGAAGAGACUUAUGGGCCUCGGACAUAAGGUUACCAGGUUAAUGAACUAGAUGGAUGGGAUAGAAAGGACUGACAAAACCCGAGACCAGGAGGAAGAGACGUUGGAUGAAGAUUGGAGAAAGUUUCAAAAAUUCUAUUUAGGAAUGUUUUCUAAAAUUAAUGAGUAUUUUAAAAAUGUUGGAACGAAAUUAUUUGGCUUUAGCAGAAAUGUUAAAAAGAACUAUGCAAGAAUAUGUCAUGGUUAUGAGAAAUUGGUAUAGAUAAGACUCAAGUUUUAAGUUUUAGGGUUUUUUAUAGUAAGAUAAGGUUAAAAUAGAUUAAGGUAAUUUAAUGACGGAAUAUUAUGAAAAAUGGGAAGGAUUUGCUGUGAUAAUCAAUAACUAGAAUACAAAAAAAGGGAGGGGUGAGGAGGUCGAUGAAAUAAGGUAAUGACAGUUAAGGAUUUGGGAAUAUUGGAUCUGUUUUUAAACUUUUGUGGUUUAUUUUUGUUUUUUGAUUUUGAUGUGUUAUGUGUUUUGUUUUUUGCUUUUUGCUUUUGAUUUUUAUCGACUUGUAUUGUUUGAUUGUGGUUUGUUUUUUCCUUUUUUUUCCUUCUUUUUCUCUUUGACUUUUAUGUAAUCUUAAAAUUCUUAAUAAAUAUCAUUUAAAAAAAAAAGAGUCAUAGAGCAAAAAAUACGGUACAUCCCAAACCUGAUGGUGAUGUACAUUUCAAUGUUUCAAUGUUAAGUCUUUCACAAAAUAAAUGGAAACUCAAAUGAUAAAUUCAGGAAAAGUAGGGCAUGACGCUAGAUAUGUGGAGAGUUUGUAAAAAGGUGAGAGAGUAAUGAAUACUAUUAACCAAUAAUAACAAGUACCUGUACAGCAAUGAGAACUAAUGUCCUUUAUUACUAUUGACAGUAAGAUAUUGUGAUGCAGCUAUUAGAAAAUAACUCACAUUCCACUCAUAACAGAAUGGGAAGUAAAAAUGUACAAAUACAAAAGCUACUUAGAGUGAAAGAAGGAAGGCAGAAGCUAAAAUGUUUAGACAGAACUGAGCAAUGUUUACUGAAUAAAUUUUUCACACAAUGCAAAAUGUUUAUUUGAGGUAGUAUACUGUAUACCAAAUUAUGAAUGCCUCAAUGACAAUGUCUCAAUUUUUAAAAAAAGAAUUCCCUGUUUUGGAAAUUCUCUCACAUGUCUCUUCUUCUUCUUUGGCGAUCACUCAUAGUCGAGUAAGAUGUCUUCCAUAAACACAGUUUUAACAAUGAGUCUGCAAGUGACUGUGGAUGUCAAUUCUGGACCCACACAUCCUUCCACAAUGGGGACAUUGGUUGCCAGGUGGGAGUUGAUCAUGGUGUGGAUUUGCCAAGCAUGCCUUCCUCUUAGCAUGUUUCUCCCUUGCGUUCUGAGUUUAAGUGUCUUCAAAGUCCAUGAAACCUUUGGUAAAGGCUGUUUUCCAACUGGAGCUCUCACAGGUCAGUGUUUCCCAGUUGUCUGUGUUUAUACUGCCUUUUUAAAGAUUUUCCUUGAGACAGUCUUUAAACCUCUUUUGUUGACCGCCAGCAUUACGCUUUCCAUUUUUAAGUUCAGAAUAGAGUAGUUGCUUUGGAAGACGAUCAUCAGGCUUCCACACAACAUGACCAGUCUAGCGAAGUUGAUGUUGAAGAAUCAUUGCUUCAACACUGGUGAUAUUUGCUUCAUCCAGUACACUGAUAUUAGUUCACCUGUCUUUCCAAGUGAUGUAUAAGAUUUUUCAGAGACACCGUUGAUGGAAUCUUUUGAGACGGAGAUGGCAUUUGUAAGUGGUCCAUGUUUCACAAGCAUACAGUAAGGUUGGUAGUACAAUAGCUUUGUAAACAAGCAUUUUUGUUUCCCUGCAAAUGUCCCGGUCCUUAAACACUCUGCACUUCAAUUGGGAGAAAGCUGCACUCGCAGAGCUUAGGUGAUGCUGGAUUUUGGCAUCAGUGUUGACCCUUGUGGAAAGGUAACUGCCUAGGUAGAGAAGUGAUCGACGUUUUCCAAUGUUACACCAUUGAGUUGGAUUUGUUGCACUGCAGAGGGGUUAUUUUGUACUUGUUGGUGCAACACUUUGGUUUUUUGGAUGUUGAGUGACAGGCCAAGCUUUUCGUAAUCUUCUGUGAAGAUAUUCAUAGCUGUUAACUUUUCCCUUUUCUUGCGAGGAAUUCUAUUUGGAAUAAGGGAAUUUCCCUUUAAAAAAGGAAAAUGUUGACAGCUAUGAAGAUAUUUAGGAUGGUUUGGAGGUCAUCCUCUGAGCGUGCACACACUACCUUGUCAUCAGCAUACUGAAGCUCUAUGACGGAAGUUAUGGUAACCUUCCUUUUUGCUUUCAGUCUGCUAAGAUUGAAGAGCUUUCCAUCUGUUUGAUAUAUGAUUUCUACCCCAGUGGGGAGUUUCCCCAGUUCUGUCCUACUGCUAUUGUACCUAUUUUAUCCACAUAUGUGAACCACCCUGAGAUCUAUGAAUAAAGGGCAGUAAAUAAAUAAAUAAGGGGGACACCAACUUUACAAAGUUGGGAAUAUAUUUUCUAGGAAGAUAUGAAGUAAUAAGAGUCUUUAUAUGUAUGUUGUGAAAUUGAGGUUACUUAUCUGGAACUCCCAUUUAACUCAAUUAUGUUCAUAUUACAGAAUUGGUUUAUUUAUCAUUAGUUUGAUCCCUGGCCUUGCAAAAGGCAUUAAAUCAGACCCACAUCAAUGGAAAAGAAGAGAAUAUUUGGUUUGUUAUCUCAAAGAAAAUGCACAUCUUUGAUACUGGGCAUCAUUGGCUACUCUUUGCAAAGUCAUAUUCAGAAAGCUCAGUAUCCUAUAGACAAAUAUAUUCUACAGUUUUCUAUCAGGUUCUUAGACCCAUUUUAUCAAGUUGCUAUAAUCUCUUUCCCCUGCCUCCUGAAAAAAGAACACUGCUAUACAGCACUCCAUGUUUAUUACCCCCAAAAUUGCUUCUAAGCUGUUUUUAACAUCUUUGUUUAUAAUGCCAAUAAAUAACACUGGCAAUGGAGUUGAAAAGCCCUCGUCUAAACAACAACAUAUUGUUCUUGAUAACAGGGCAGAAAAAUAUCAAACAAAAUUAUAUAUAGUCGAAAACACUAUUAUUUGUCUAUGUAAUUACUUUGCUGCUGGCAAUCAUAUACAUGAGACAAUCAUAGUUUCUCUGUACCGCUCAAUGACAAUCGAUCUUCAUAAUUUUACAGCAAAACCUUGGACUUUCUGACACUGAAUAAACAGGCUGCUGGUGCGUUAUCAGGAAUGAGAGAGAUAAAGCAGUCAUUGGGAUGGAGAAUGUUUGCUAAGAAAGGAUUGAAAGUGAUUGUGUUUUAAAGGGCUGUCAACAAGUAACAUCAGCUUUCAGCUUUUAAUCUGAAUGUGCAUUUAUCUUUCUAGCUACCUUUAAAGAGAUGCCGUUCAAAGAGUGGGACUCUGUGAAAAUUAAGUCCCUAUUACAUUACUAUGAUGUUACAAGUGUCCAACUUGUUUGCAUUUCUAGUAGCAUCCUAAUGUCAUAAUGCAGCUGUAAUCAAUCCCAAAAUAUAUAGUUGAAGCAGAAUUACUUAUUUAUCAUUAAUAUUUUAAUUAGCAUUUCAUUGACUUUUUAUUUUGAUUCACAAAUAAUUCACUGCCCCCCCUUACAUAGAUAUCCCAUAUGCUUUUGAAUUUUCCACUUCCACACAGAAAUUCAGUUAAUAACAACAGCACUGUUAGUUUUGUUUUGUAUAAUUUUAAGAAGCAGGGCACAAAAAGUGAUACAAUUUUAUGGCAUCUGCAAUAAAAAUUAUUUAGCAGGCUCUCAUAGGACUGCUGAAUGCAUUAAUAAUGAACACUGCAUUUACACUUAAUGAGGUUUGCAUGUCAGACCAAUUGCUCAUCAUGAAACAUACACACUUCUUGCAGAAACAGCACAUACUGGUCAUAAGUAUUUUUUAGUUUAUUGUUUUCUGUAAGGUAUUAUAUGCAAUUUUAACAGAUAAUUUGAGUUUUGUAUAAACUGUCUGCUGUUCCUUUAAUAAUUCUGCUAGCUAAACUAUUAAAACUAUGUGUAGAAAGUAGCCAUGAGAAAAUGGUUACCAAUUUAGUUACUGCUCUAAAGAUCUCCAUAGCUUCUUAUUUAAGUAAUCAACCCUAAUCAAACAUUAGACCUACCCCAAAUGGUCCUCAGUGGGAUAAGUGGGCCCCAAAUGGGCCCAGAUUGGGUUAACCAUGACUGGGGACCCCCAGGUCAAGAGGGUCCAAAUACUUGCACCACUUUUAUUUCAAACAUAUUCAAAGCUGUAGAAUCAUAAGCCACAUAUGCAGUAGAAAUACUAAAGAUUGGCAAUAUUUCAUUAUAUAUUUUUCCAGGGGGGAAAUAAACACUGUGGUGUUAGAAAAAGAUUAAUUAAAGUGUCACAAAUACUUCUGGAAAACAAGAGCUAAGAUAGAGUUAAAGAUGGCAGUAAACUAACCCUUUGCUUUCAAGUGUUCACGCUACCAGAAAGAUGAUGACAAACUAGAGUGAGUUGAAGGAAGAAAGCAAAAAUGAUUAAUGGCUUGGUGAAAAGGAUUUGCAAAUAAAAAUUAAAAUACUUUGCAAUAUGCAGCUUAGCAAAAUUAUUAUACAGGAAGAGGAGAUAUGAGAAUGAUGGUAAAUAAUUCAUUUUCUUUUGGAGAACAAUGUGGGCAUCUGGAACAGUGGUCUAUAGUCAAUCAUUUGGCUGUAGGUUCAAAUUAAUAUGUAACCAUGGUUCAGUUUGGGCUAUUCUCAUUUUCCUUCUCUACUUGAGCUUAUUCCUCUGGCUUCUUCUCAUUCCAAACUACUUCUAAUGCACCUUUGCUUCUCUUGUGCUGCUGGAUUAUUUGUUCCUAUAUCUUGCCAGUGAUUCCACACUUCCUCCUGCUUGCCUAGUUCCUGUGUGACCUGGCCUACCUCUCCCUAGGAUCCAUCUGAUCAGGGCUUCCAGCGGCAGCCCAAGACUCUUGCUGCUGCCCUAGAUCUCUCUGACAUUGGCUUCUGAUUGGUUGAACUGCUACAAAGAACUUAUCAGCACUUUAUAGAAUACCUUGGCAUCCUCAUAAAAACCCAAGCAGCUAUUUCCACUAGCUUCCCAGCAAGUGAGUUGCUGUUGUUUACUAGGAGGAAGAGGAGAAGGGGAUAGAGAAGCUGAUACAGUACAGACACAUCAGCCAGAGUGCCAUAUUGACUCCACCAAUGUCCUUGCAAUGUGCUGACCUCCCCACUACUACCUGCCUCAGUGACUUUUCUGCUGCAAAACUAGAGUAGUGGCCCUGUCCUACCUGGCAAGCCACUUCUGCCCAAAUAAUAUUAUCAGCCCUGAGUGCUCACUGAAAGGACAGAUCCUGAAGCUGAGGCUCCAAUACUUUGGCCACCUCUUGAGAAGAGAAGACUCCCUGGAAAAGAAACAUCAUUUAUUUUUCAUUGAUGGAUUGCGACCCAGUCCCUUAGCAUACUUUCCCAGUCUCAUGGACCCAUGUAGUAGUCCUACUACUAGUAAUCAUGAUGAUGUUAC
Molecule: non-coding RNA, 5659 nt
Organism: Podarcis lilfordi (Lilford's wall lizard)
Lineage: Eukaryota; Metazoa; Chordata; Lepidosauria; Squamata; Lacertidae
Source: the annotation of a GenBank genome assembly